GGGCCGGUAGCUCAGCUAGGAAGAGCGACGGUUUGCCUACCCGUAGGACCCGGGUUCAAAUCCCGGCCGGCCCG
Molecule: transfer RNA, 74 nt
Filed under: Infirmifilum uzonense
Lineage: Archaea; Thermoproteati; Thermoproteota; Thermoprotei; Thermofilales; Thermofilaceae
Description: Thermofilum uzonense tRNA-Gly
Rfam family: tRNA
About the family: Transfer RNA (tRNA) molecules are approximately 80 nucleotides in length.
Source: RNAcentral